UAUCAACGCUGGCGGCGUGCCUCAGACAUGCAAGUCGAACGCGAAAGUCCCCUUCGGGGAGUGAUUAGAGUGGCGCACGGGUGAGUAACACGUAGGUAAUCUACCUUCGAGUGGGGAAUAACUCAGGGAAACUUGAGCUAAUACCGCAUAAUGCAGCGGCACCACAUGGUGACAGUUGUUAAAGCAUUUAUGCGCUUGAAGAGGAGCCUGCGGCGGAUAGCUAGUUGGUAAGGUAAUGGCUUACCAAGGCUACGAUCUGUAACCGGCCUGAGAGGGCGGACGGUCACACUGACACUGAAUAACGGGUCAGACUCCUACGGGAGGCAGCAGUCGGG
RNAcentral lists this ribosomal RNA (335 nucleotides) under uncultured bacterium. RNAcentral describes it as "bacterial SSU rRNA". It matches the Rfam family "Bacterial small subunit ribosomal RNA", at positions 32 to 359 of the family's 1533-position model. The record is from RNAcentral.